This 496-nucleotide ribosomal RNA is filed under the name uncultured bacterium. RNAcentral's name for it is "partial 16S ribosomal RNA". It matches the Rfam family "Bacterial small subunit ribosomal RNA", at positions 28 to 507 of the family's 1533-position model. The record is from RNAcentral.
GAUGAACGCUGGCGGCGUGCCUAAUACAUGCAAGUCGAGCGAACAGACGCGGAGCUUGCUCCUCUGACGUUAGCGGCGGACGGGUGAGUAACACGUGGAUAACCUACCUAUCAGACUGGGAUAACUUCGGGAAACCGGCGCUAAUACCGGAUAAUAUAUUGAACCGCAUGAUUCAAUAGUGAAAGACGGUUUUGCUGUCACUUAUAGAUGGAUCCGGGCCUCAUUAGCUGGUUGGGAAGGUAUCGGCUUACCAGGGCAACGGUGCGUAACCGACCUGAGAGGGUGUACGCGCACUCUGGAGCUGAGCCACGGUCCAGACUCUUACGUACGGCAGCAGUAGGUAAGCUUCCGCAAAGUGCGAAAGCCUGACGGAUCAACGCCGCGUGAGUGAAGAAGGUCUGCGUAUCGGAAAACUCUGUUAUGAGUGAAGAACAAAUUUGUAAGUAACGAUGCGCGUCUGGACGGUACCUAUACAGAAAGCCCCGCCUACUUACUG